Carassius gibelio (silver crucian carp) is the source of this 1338-nucleotide long non-coding RNA. RefSeq lists it as uncharacterized. The transcript has 7 exons. NCBI's taxonomy places the organism in Eukaryota, Metazoa, Chordata, Actinopteri, Cypriniformes, Cyprinidae. The record is from RefSeq and is a predicted model, not a curated record.
CCAUUCUCACUCCAAAGGCGUCAAAAACCGAAGCAUGGUCAAGCGCCCCUAGCGUCACUUUUAUGACGCCAAAUGUGCCUCUCGGCGUCGACUAUCGAAGCACUACGACCUUCAUUGCUUUCAGUGGGAAACUUUUGGCGUCAGAAUUCGACACGAGGACAUGAGAUGUUUAUCGCUAUGAAAUCACGUUCAAGAAGUCUCAUUCAGCACACAUCGCGCGAUACUUGCUAUCAGUUCCACAGUUUGGCUGAAAAGACGUAAAGGCAGUCAGCCCAGUGGUGUUUCUGGAGAGGGAUUCCUUCAGAAAUGGAGAAGACAGAAAGCUGCGGAGGCAGAUAUUUGCAGCAUGUUCGAGUGAGCAUGAUGACCACGAGUGUGUGUCGAACUUUUCAUGACCUGAUGACUGUGUUUCCCAAUCCUGAUCCUGGAGAACCCCAGCACUGCACGGUUUUGGCGUCUCUCUUAUCUGCCUUGGAGUCUUCACUGAUGAGCUGAUGAGUUGAAUCAGGUCUAAAAUAUCGAGCUCAACAGCUAUUUUAAGAGCCAACCCUCACAAACCUUCCUAAAACCUAAAAGAGCUAUUACUGAGUCUCAGCGAAUCUUGCCAUGAUCAGCUCUUCCCAGAAGAGAAGGAAGACCAAGGAAAUGAUUUGCUCAGGAUGAGGAAUGAAGACGGCCAUCUUGAGCUCAAACAAACAGAAGUCCUCUGAUGAUCUCAUCAGCCAAAUGAGGGGUUUUGACCAAGUGAUGCUCUUGAAAGGAGUGGAUGUGGUAAAUUGUCUUCAGAGAAAAAGCUUCUCAAAAGGUCUUAAAACAGCUUGAAGAAUGGUCUGGGAUCUUAGGACUGAGAGAUCCUCUGGCUGAGGACAAGCUACACCACAUCAGUGCUGGAUAUCAGCCACAAACUGUUUCCAGACACGAGAGAAGAAGAACACGAUGGGGAGAUGAAACCAGUUUAGAUGUGAUGAUGGGAAUCAUUAUUUUCUGGAACAGUAUCACAUGUCUUAUAUGUAUCACAUGAUCUGUAUCACAGUUGACUGGAUGGGACUGUGUGACUUUUAAGGACAUUUCAUCACUUAUCUGUGUGAACUGAUUUAUAUAUGAGGUUAAUGUAUCUUUGAUGAUAAUUAUUUUCAUUGAAUCUUAUUUGUCUUGAUGCUACUUUAUCAACUUUAUAGUCUAUGCUUCAAUAAAAUGAAAAUGGUGAAUAUUGUGUUCUGAAGAUUCUUGGUAAAUACAUCAUUUUACUAGGUAGGCUCAUAUGUGUUUAUUUUAGACUUGGAAAAACGACAUAUUAAUUAUUGGGAUUAUUUUUUUAUUUAAGACAUAAACAUUUUU